UAAUACGAAGGGUGCUAGCGUUGUUCGGAAUCACUGGGCGUAAAGCGCGCGUAGGCGGUUAUUCAAGUCAGGGGUGAAAUCCUGGGGCUCAACCCCAGAAUUGCCUCUGAAACUGUAUAACUAGAGUGUCGGAGGGGAUAGCGGAAUUGCUAAUGUAGCGGUGAAAUGCGUAGAUAUUAGCAGGAACACCGGUGGCGAAGGCGGCUAUCUGGACGACAACUGACGCUGAGGCGCGAAAGCGUGGGGAUCAAACAGGAUUAGAUACCCUGGUAGUCCACGCUGUAAACGAUGGAUGCUAGCUGUUGGGGGGUUACCUCUCAGUAGCGUAGCUAACGCGUUAAGCAUCCCGCCUGGGGAGUACGGUCGCAAGAUUA
RNAcentral lists this ribosomal RNA (374 nucleotides) under uncultured bacterium. RNAcentral's name for it is "bacterial SSU rRNA". It matches the Rfam family "Bacterial small subunit ribosomal RNA", at positions 521 to 896 of the family's 1533-position model. The record is from RNAcentral.